Homo sapiens (human) is the source of this 1109-nucleotide long non-coding RNA. RefSeq lists it as uncharacterized. The record is from RefSeq and is a predicted model, not a curated record. The transcript has 6 exons. Lineage: Eukaryota; Metazoa; Chordata; Mammalia; Primates; Hominidae.
CCCCGCCUCUUCCCCCAAAGCUGCCUUUGAAAAACCCCUAACCUAUGAGCUUCAGAGGAGAUGAUUUGAGUAAACUCCAUCUCCCAUGUGGUGUUGCAGGCCUCGUAUCUACUAAACUCUCCUUAUUACAAGUCAGGAAGAACCCCUUAGGCAGUUACUUUACUAUACUGAAAUAUAGGAAAAAAAUCAAUCAUUUUCAGAGCUGAACAAACUAAAUGUUUACCAUAACAGAUCCUCAAUUAGGAAAUAUCUAAAUAAUAUACCUCAGAAGAGAGACUAUGGUCCCAGCUGGAAAAUUUAAAAUGCAAGAAGAAAUGCUGGAGUGCAGUAGUGCAGUCACAGCUGAGUGCAGCCUCCACCUCCCAGGGCUCAAGCAAUCCUGCCACCUCAGUCUACCAAGUAGCUGGAACUACAGACCUGAACCACCACACCCAGCUAAUUUUUUAUUUUUUGUAAAGAUGGGGUCUCACUGUGUUGCCCUGGCUGACCUCAAACUCCUGAACCCAAGCAAUCCUUUCACCACCUUGGCCUCCCAAAGUGUUAGGAUUAGAGGAAUGAGCCAUUGUGUCCAGCCAAAAUAAAUAUUUUAAGCAUGUAUAACUACUAAAGAGGGAUGCUGUGUAUACUGGAGGAUUUGCACCACAUUUCUGCUUGUAACAGCAACUCAUUUUUAGCGAGAAAUAAUUGAAUAAGCUCAAAGACCCUAAGAUCGGGGUGCUGAGAAGAGCCCAGGCAGCACAACAUGAGGACAGUGCUUUUCUUAUAAGAAAAGGGAAGAGAUAAAAAAGAUGGACAGAAAACAACAUAGAUGAUUUGGCAAAAUGAGAUAGAGGAGGAACUGUCUUCCAUAUGGGGAUAUACCAGUGAAGUCAGACCACAUUAACAGCAACAAAAAUCCAGAGUGGUAUACUUCCAUGUCCAUAUUAUUGGAAAAAAAUUCUUAACCAGUAAAAGCAUGGCACUGUGGAUUAAGUACCAGGCUAACAUCAAGGAAAUCAGGUGAUGAUAGCCUACUGUAUGUCCCCAGGCAGGAGCCAACACAUUUGCUGGUACAGAUGAGCUGCGUUCCUCACGGAGCACGGGCACAUCAAUUCUGGAACAGUCAGCCC